RNAcentral lists this ribosomal RNA (468 nucleotides) under uncultured bacterium. Its description in RNAcentral is "partial 16S ribosomal RNA". It matches the Rfam family "Bacterial small subunit ribosomal RNA", at positions 28 to 507 of the family's 1533-position model. The record is from RNAcentral.
GACGAACGCUGGCGGCGCGCCUAACACAUGCAAGUCGAACGGAGCUGCGAGAAGCUUGCUUUUCUUAGCUUAGCGGCGAACGGGUGAGUAACGCGUGAGUAACCUGCCCUGGAGUGGGGGACAACAGUUGGAAACGACUGCUAAUACCGCAUAAGCCCACGAUCCGGCAUCGGAUUGAGGGAAAAGGAUUUAUUCGCUUCAGGAUGGACUCGCGUCCAAUUAGCUAGUUGGUGAGGUAACGGCCCACCAAGGCGACGAUUGGUAGCCGGACUGAGAGGUUGAACGGCCACAUUGGGACUGAGACACGGCCCAGACUCCUACGGGAGGCAGCAGUGGGGGAUAUUGCACAAUGGGGGAAACCCUGAUGCAGCGACGCCGCGUGGAGGAAGAAGGUUUUCGGAUUGUAAACUCCUGUCGUUAGGGACGAUAAUGACGGUACCUAACAAGAAAGCACCGGCUAACUACGUG